RNAcentral lists this microRNA (19 nucleotides) under Pan troglodytes (chimpanzee). RNAcentral's name for it is "ptr-miR-1322". Lineage: Eukaryota; Metazoa; Chordata; Mammalia; Primates; Hominidae. RNAcentral also lists the same sequence under 1 other name. The record is from miRBase by way of RNAcentral.
GAUGAUGCUGCUGAUGCUG